UUGAGAGUUGGUUACAUUAAUUACAUCCUUUUCUUGCUUGAACAUGCCAAUAGGUAGCUAUUCCUAAUUCGAAAACUAUGUACUAAAAUGUCACAUCAAAAUUAGAUGGAGUGAUUCACAUUGGAAGGCAAUGCAGUAAUUCUUCCAGGACAACAUUUGACUCCCGCUAGUGGGUAAAAGUAACUUGGCUUUACGACCCCCGCCAGUGGAAAGAAAUAUCUAGAUGAUGACUUGCAGCGGUAAAGGCCUUGCCGCUGAAAUAAAAGCGGCCAUAGCCACACUACCAUCUGAGAGUAUGAAUUUCAAAGUAUGGAAUAAUAGC
Molecule: long non-coding RNA, 322 nt
Filed under: Phoenix dactylifera (date palm)
Lineage: Eukaryota; Viridiplantae; Streptophyta; Magnoliopsida; Arecales; Arecaceae
Description: long non-coding RNA (PDAC_LNC004265)
Source: RNAcentral